RNAcentral lists this non-coding RNA (196 nucleotides) under Triticum aestivum (bread wheat). RNAcentral's name for it is "Bacterial large subunit ribosomal RNA". It matches the Rfam family "Bacterial large subunit ribosomal RNA", at positions 1801 to 2001 of the family's 2925-position model. Lineage: Eukaryota; Viridiplantae; Streptophyta; Magnoliopsida; Poales; Poaceae. The record is from Rfam by way of RNAcentral.
UGUUUAUUAAAAACACAUGACUCUGCUAAGCGGUAACACGUGUAUAGAGUCUGACACCUGCCCGGGUCUGGAAGGUCGGAAAGAGAAGUGUGAUAAGCUUCAAAUGGAAGCCCCAGUAAACAGCGGCAAUAACUCUAACUGCCCUAAGGUAGCGAAAUUCCUUGUCGCAUAAGCAGCGACCUGCAUGAAUUAGGUG